Molecule: long non-coding RNA, 1777 nt
Organism: Gymnodraco acuticeps
Lineage: Eukaryota; Metazoa; Chordata; Actinopteri; Perciformes; Bathydraconidae
Exons: 3
Source: RefSeq, a predicted model, not a curated record
GCUUGACAUUACGUUUAUUCCAUACAAGUAUAAAUGGGUUCCGCAACAUUUUAACAGUAGAAAUACAGGUGUGGCGCUUUACAUGGACAUUGAAGUUGGCAGCUAAAUGAGGAGGGAAAACGUUUUCAUGGUCAACCAGAAUCCAACUUGAAUCGGUUGGUAACGGUAGCUAAUGUUAGCUACGUGCUAACGCUAGCAUAGCAGCUACAAACAUUUGCCGGUCAAUUAUCAAAAAGCUACUUCUAAACAGGUCAUUUUCGAACAACAUAUUUUUCAGCAUCUCAAGUGACUCUCCUGACACUAAUGUGGGAACUUUAAUUUGUCAAAAUGUUGUCAGAGUUAUUAUGAAGAACUAAAGUACUGUAAACGUAGUUUUAAAAGCAUUUGCAGCUGUUGCUAAGUCACCGGUAGGUGGGGUGGGAGUCAAUCACGUUCCUAAUAUAAAUACUUGUGUAUUACAUUAAAAUGAGUAAUUGUAUAUGACACAAGCGCCCACGGACACCUGAGAUAACAGCAAUGUCCCCUCCAUGUAACUUAUGUUACAUUUUGUAGUUCUAAUUGCACAUACGCACAGACGAUAUUUUAUUUUAGACAAUGAGGACAUUGACAUACAUCCUCUUGACCCAAAACAAAAUAACGAAUGUAUCAAUUCCUGGGGAAGUAGGUUUGGUUAACGGUGUAUAUUCUGCCUUAAAUCUUAGACCUAGAUUCACACAUGAUUUAUUUAUUUUGUGACUAUUUGUAUGAUUUAUUAACAUUUAUUAAGAAUAAGUGAAGCCACUUUGUAAUAACACUUUGAUAGUAAAUAAGGAAACAUACUUUGCUCCUGAAAAUUACUUAUAAUUCAAAUGGUGUGUAAGAUUGUUUUAUUGAGGUGAAAUGUUAAUCUGUCACUCCCUUCCCCCUCCCCCAUAUUCCCCCUGUCUCUAACUGCAGACUAUUACUGUUGGCGACUUUGCAGACCUGAAGUUCUGCUGGCUCCUCCUUCCUGUCUCCAACUGCUGACUGACAUAGUUGAGAACGUUGUGGUGACCUGACCGUGGCCUGCUGUUGAGGAACUCUCUGGAUUCUUUCUCUCUAUCAUAACUGCAUUCUAUCUUUCCUAUACAUUUUUGGCUAUUCUAUCUUUUGUGUCCCUCAAGUUACAAGUACUUGAUCUCUGCCACCAGAUUACAAGUAGUUGGUGGUUUUCUCUCUUGCUAUCCCACUCUACAAGUGAAAAGUGCUUGAUCUAUUCAACUCUAUCUAUAAAAACGCUAUAACGAUUUCAGUCAAUACUGACUUUUGAAAAAGCAAGUUGAUUUGGACUACAACAGUCCUUGAGAUAUUAAAGCCUCUCAGGUUACAAGUACCUGAUCACUCUGUUAAAAAGCAUCUCUCAGAGCCUCUCUGCUCUUACUCUCUCUCUCUGUCAAGUGAAAAGUGCUUGAACUCAACAUUUAAUUGUAUCAUUGUCACAACACAUAAAUUGUUGUACUAAGUGGAUAGUUACAAAUAUAUAUAUAUACAAAGGUUAUACGUUUAUAAUUUCAAUCCAUAUUUAUUUUAUAAGAACUGUUGUUACUGAAUUGUGUUACCGUAAACAUAUCUAAUUCCUAAAGGCUGUUUUAAGUCAUAUUUCAGUGUUGCUGUAUAUGUUUACUUAACUAGUUAACAUAAUAAUACGAUAUUGUAUUUAUUUUCUCUGAUAAACGUAAACACACCCCAGGUUCACACACUGUUCUGAUCAGAAAAUAAAGAGCUUUGUUAUUGUCUAACCUGUCAUAUACUGCAAUAA